Molecule: RNA transcript, 2273 nt
Organism: Gymnodraco acuticeps
Lineage: Eukaryota; Metazoa; Chordata; Actinopteri; Perciformes; Bathydraconidae
Gene: sox1a
Gene name: SRY-box transcription factor 1a
Exons: 4
Source: RefSeq, a predicted model, not a curated record
GGCCGCUUGUGGCUCAUUUAACCGCUGCCAGUGCGCAUCAUAUGGCCGCCGCUUUAACCCAACUUCUCAACUCCGACAGGGAAAGUGGCUCAAAUGCGCAUUCUGCCCACAGUGGAUGUGAACCAACCCAGGCGAAGAGCGCGUGAAGUACUGGUUGGAGAACAUUUUAUAUCCCUUUUGGAUUAAUUUUGAUCUUGAAUCAUUUGGAGUUAGAAUAUUAAAUUGUGUUAUCCAGUCAUCCUGUGCGCACUCGAUCCUGUGCGCUGCUAUCUUGAAAUAGACUUUUUUCUCUGUUGGUGGCGAACUUUAAAACCAGGUGAAUGUAUAGCAUGAUGAUGGAAACUGACCUCCAUUCCCCCGGUCCCCAAACGAACACAAACACGGGGCAAACGGGGCCGAACAGUGGGUCCAAAGCGAACCAGGAGCGGGUGAAGAGACCGAUGAACGCGUUCAUGGUUUGGUCCCGGGGCCAGCGGAGGAAGAUGGCACAGGAGAACCCAAAAAUGCACAACUCUGAGAUCAGCAAGCGGCUGGGCGCAGAGUGGAAAGUGAUGUCCGAGGCUGAGAAGAGACCUUUCAUCGACGAGGCGAAACGGUUGCGAGCCAUGCACAUGAAGGAGCAUCCGGAUUACAAGUACCGGCCAAGACGGAAGACCAAGACGCUGCUGAAAAAGGACAAAUAUUCCCUCGCUGGUGGACUUCUUUCUGGGCCAGGCGGUGGAGUUGGAAUGGGAGUUGGAAUGGGAGUCGGGAUGGGUUCAUCCGGGGUCGGGCAGAGGUUAGAGAGCCCCGGGGGUCACGGAGGUUCCGCCGGCUCCGGCUACGCGCACAUGAACGGCUGGGCGAACGGUGCGUACUCGGGGCAGGUGGCAGCAGCCGCGGCGGCCGCAGCGAUGAUGCAGGAGGCGCAGCUCGCCUACAGCCAGCACCCUGGCAGCGGGGUGCACCACCACCACUCACACCACCACCACUCACACAACCCGCAGCCCAUGCACCGCUACGACAUGACGGCCCUGCAGUACAGCCCCAUCUCGAACUCUCAGAGCUACAUGAACGCUUCUCCAUCCGGCUACGGCGGGAUCAGCUACUCACAGCACCAGGGCUCCGGCGUCUCCUCCUCGGCUGCCAUGGGGACGUUAGGGUCGCUUGUGAAGUCGGAGCCGAGUAUUUCUCCGUUGUUGGAAUAGCAUCUGCACUGGGACAUUUUGACAAGAGGUCGCUGUUUGACUGAAAGUCUCUUGCCCUCACUGACUCUCACUAACUCCACCAUCCACUCAAUAGAGAGCGCUGAACAACACACCUGCAGUGUCUCUCUAUCACUGGCCUGCACACAUGCGUACCCACCAGAUGCUGUAAAGGAUUUCUGCUCCUCGCUGGCAGCAACUGUCCAUCAUGGCUAUCACCAGUGGACAUGGAUCACUGUGGGCCUGUGAUUAACAGAUAGCGACUCGUCUCCUCUGCUGGCAGCCCAUCAUUACGUGGAGCACUAGAAGAUAGGUGCUGUGGGAGAAAAGACCUUUAGGAAAAUGUCAGCGACAGUCAGAGCCCCAAAUUUCCUCCAUUCACUCUUUCCCAUGUGAUGCUACCUACUAUAAACCCCUUAAUUACACACAUCCCUUUCUCCUAUCGCCCCGUGUUUUAUAGCUAAGUGAAGUGUUGGAUUUCAGAGCAUGUGGUGAGUUUAUUUUAUCUUAUUUAAAAGACGAGCUGUAAAAAAGAAAAAAAUAGAUAGUCAGAAACACCAGCUCAUUUUUGCAACCAAAAAAAAAAGAAAACCCAGCUCCCCUUUCCCUUUCACUGGAGCCAGCUUCAGUGUCUUAAUACUCUUAGUCCCUCAGUUGGCAAGAAGCCGCUGCAUUUUCAGAUUUGUAAAAUCCGUCAAAAUGCCUGUAAUGAAUAUUUCUACAGCCUUGAGUGUAUUUAAUGUGUGACCGGCCCGAAUAACAAACAUACUGAUCUGGAACAAGGGGAACAGAGAAGCUCCGUCAGUGGGAAGCAGGUCAUUCUCAUUUAAGAAGCAGAAUAUAAUCAUUUAUUAUUCUCAUUUCAUCCUAGGUGUCGAUUAACAUAUUUCUAGUGCAUGAAGCUUUAUGUUAUGUAUAUUUAUGUUUUAAAUUUGAAAAAAAUAAUAUUAUUACAUUUUUCUUCCUGGAUUAUCAUAUUGUGAGACAGGUCUUUGUUAUGCGCUAACAUUGUACACUUUGUUGUCUAGGCUUUUGCUGAAAAAAACAUAUUGAAUAAAACUUGCAUCUUAUUGCUGCCUAAUAAUAAAA